This 235-nucleotide unclassified non-coding RNA is filed under the name fungal sp. Its description in RNAcentral is "partial contains small subunit ribosomal RNA, internal transcribed spacer 1, and 5.8S ribosomal RNA". The stretch from base 1 to 47 matches the Rfam family "Eukaryotic small subunit ribosomal RNA", at positions 1785 to 1831 of the family's 1831-position model. The record is from RNAcentral. Lineage: Eukaryota; Fungi.
AAAGUCGUAACAAGGUUUCCGUAGGUGAACCUGCGGAAGGAUCAUUACAGAGUUCAUGCCCUUACGGGUAGACCUCCCACCCUUGAAUACUAUACCUCUUGUUGCUUUGGCGGGCCGCUCCGGCUACCGGCUCCGGCUGGUGAGUGCCCGCCAAGGGACCUAAACUCUUGAAUUAUUGUGUCGUCUGAGUACUAUAUAAUAGUUAAAACUUUCAACAACGGAUCUCUUGGUUCUG